UACAGAGGUCUCAAGCGUUGUUCGGAUUCAUUGGGCGUAAAGGGUGUGUAGGUGGCGCCGUAAGUCGGGUGUGAAAUUUCGGAGCUUAACUCCGAAACUGCAUUCGAUACUGCGGUGCUUGAGGACUGGAGAGGAGACUGGAAUUCAUGGUGUAGCAGUGGAAUGCGUAGAGAUCAUGAGGAAGACCAGUGGCGAAGGCGGGUCUCUGGACAGUUCCUGACACUGAGACACGAAGGCCAGGGGAGCAAACGGG
This 253-nucleotide ribosomal RNA is filed under the name uncultured bacterium. Its description in RNAcentral is "partial 16S ribosomal RNA". It matches the Rfam family "Bacterial small subunit ribosomal RNA", at positions 524 to 776 of the family's 1533-position model. The record is from RNAcentral.